This 446-nucleotide ribosomal RNA is filed under the name uncultured bacterium. RNAcentral's name for it is "bacterial SSU rRNA". It matches the Rfam family "Bacterial small subunit ribosomal RNA", at positions 354 to 796 of the family's 1533-position model. The record is from RNAcentral.
GUCUAGAGGCUUCGGCAAUGGGCGCAAGCCUGACCGAGCGACGCCGCGUGGAGGAUGAAGCCCUUCGGGGUGUAAACUCCUUUCGGAUGGGGAAAAGGCCCUGGUGGCGAACCAGGGAUUGAUCCUCCCGUCGGAAGAAGCCCCGGCCAACUCCGUGCCAGCAGCCGCGGUAAUACGGAGGGGGCAAGCGUUAUUCGGAUUCAUUGGGCGUAAAGGGCGCGCAGGCGGCUCGGCAAGUCUGAUGUGAAAUCUCCCGGCUCACCCGGGAGGGGCCAUUGGAAACUGCCGAGCUUGAGGUCCGGAGAGGCCGGCGGAAUUCCCGGUGUAGCGGUGGAAUGCGUAGAUAUCGGGAAGAACACCAGUGGCGAAGGCGGCCGGCUGGACGGCACCUGACGCUGAGGCGCGAAAGUGCGGGGAGCAAACGGGAUUAGAAACCCCUGUAGUCC